RNAcentral lists this ribosomal RNA (253 nucleotides) under uncultured bacterium. Its description in RNAcentral is "partial 16S ribosomal RNA". It matches the Rfam family "Bacterial small subunit ribosomal RNA", at positions 524 to 776 of the family's 1533-position model. The record is from RNAcentral.
UACGGAGGGGACUAGCGUUGUCCGGAUUUAUUGGGCGUAAAGAGCGUGUAGGCGGCCAGGUAGGUCUGCUGUGAAAACUCGAGGCUUAACCUCGAGCUGUCGGCGGAAACCAUCUGGCUAGAGUCCGGAAGAGGAGAAUGGAAUUCCCGGUGUAGCGGUGAAAUGCGCAGAUAUCGUGAGGAACACCAGAGGCGAAGGCGGCUACCUGGACAAUUGCUGACGCUCAGGCACGAAAGCGUGGGGAGCAAAAGGG